CCUUCGGGUGGCAGCAGUGAGGAAUAUUGGUCAAUGGGCGCUAGCCUGAACCAGCCAAGUAGCGUGAAGGAUGACUGCCCUAUGGUUUUUCAACUUCUUUUGUAUGGGAGUAAAGUGCAGUAUGUAUACUGCUUUUCUUGUACCUUAUGAAUAAGGAUCGGCUAACUCCGUGCCAGCCGCCGCGGUAAUACGGAGGAUCCGGGCGUUAUCCGGAUUUAUUGGGUUUAAAGGGAGCGUAGGCGGGUUGUUAAGUCAGUUGUGAAAGUUUUCGGCUCAACCGUAAAAUUGCAGUUGAUACUGGCAUCCUUGAGUACAGUAGAGGUAGGCGGAAUUCGUGGUGUAGCGGUGAAAUGCUUAGAUAUAACGAAGAACUCCGAUUGCGAAGGCAGCCUGCUGGACUGUAACUGACGCUGAGGCUCGAAAGCGUGGGGAGCAAACAGGAUUAGAUACCCCUGUAGUC
This 460-nucleotide ribosomal RNA is filed under the name uncultured bacterium. RNAcentral describes it as "partial 16S ribosomal RNA". It matches the Rfam family "Bacterial small subunit ribosomal RNA", at positions 338 to 795 of the family's 1533-position model. The record is from RNAcentral.